GAAAACUCAAAAGCUCCGCAAUUUAACAUGGCCCAGGUGUGUAGUUGACACUGACCAAAUAUGAAGCUUGUACAAUGAAAUUCCAAUGAGGAGUUCGCAAAAGUUCGAGGCAUGGAAAUGGCAAAAUUAGAGCCAAAAUGUCACCUUCACUUCCAAAUGGCGGACUUCCUGUUGGGUUUGCGUCAAUGGUCCCACUGACUUUUUUGUUCGUCUUGGCAUGAUACACAUGUGUGCCAAAUUUCAUACAUGUAGCUAAAACGAUGUGUUCGUAGGGCUGCAUUUAACAAGGCAUAGGUGGCGCUACAGAGCCAUUUCCCAAUGCUCAUAUGUAAAACCAUUAAAAUACAAAAUUUUUCACCAGACCUGGCAUGUGUGCAAAAU
Molecule: long non-coding RNA, 381 nt
Organism: Oreochromis aureus
Lineage: Eukaryota; Metazoa; Chordata; Actinopteri; Cichliformes; Cichlidae
Source: Ensembl